CCUACGGGGGGCUGCAGUGGGGAAUAUUGGACAAUGGGGGGGAACCCUGAUCCAGCCAUGCCGCGUGUGUGAAGAAGGCCCUCGGGUUGUAAAGCACUUUCAGUGAGGAAGAACGCCUGGUGGUUAAUACCCAUCAGGAAAGACAUCACUCACAGAAGAAGCACCGGCUAACUCCGUGCCAGCAGCCGCGGUAAUACGGAGGGUGCGAGCGUUAAUCGGAAUUACUGGGCGUAAAGCGCGCGUAGGUGGCUUGAUAAGCCGGUUGUGAAAGCCCCGGGCUCAACCUGGGAACGGCAUCCGGAACUGUCAAGCUAGAGUGCAGGAGAGGAAGGUAGAAUUCCCGGUGUAGCGGUGAAAUGCGUAGAGAUCGGGAGGAAUACCAGUGGCGAAGGCGGCCUUCUGGACUGACACUGACACUGAGGUGCGAAAGCGUGGGUAGCAAACAGGAUUAGAUACCCGGGUAGUC
Molecule: ribosomal RNA, 466 nt
Filed under: Vreelandella stevensii
Lineage: Bacteria; Pseudomonadati; Pseudomonadota; Gammaproteobacteria; Oceanospirillales; Halomonadaceae
Description: partial 16S ribosomal RNA
Rfam family: Bacterial small subunit ribosomal RNA
Source: RNAcentral